GUCAAAAAGGCAGGGCGUCAUCGUGGUUGCAUUGCCAAUGCCAAUGAAUAUUUCCAGGCGCACGGCGGCGUGCUACAGGGAAGCGGAGGCGGAGGCGGAGGCGGACCGCUGGGCAACGCCGCCGACACGGAGCCGCGGCGCCUGGGCUCUGCGCAUUCGAAUUUCCACGCGCGGGGGCAUGCAAAAGCCUGCGGCGUGGCGCCCUUGCGUGGCUGUGGAUGGCUAUGGCCAGACAGGCAGAGGCGCGCCCAGCUCAAAAGCGAGCGGAAGGCGGAAGCAAUAGAGAAAAAGGAGGGGAAGACCGAAGACGCAGCAGCAGCCAGCCAGCCAGCCAUGCAUGCAGGCAAAGGAGGAUCAGAGGAGACGGCUGUUGCUGUUGCUCAG
Molecule: unclassified non-coding RNA, 384 nt
Filed under: Zea mays
Lineage: Eukaryota; Viridiplantae; Streptophyta; Magnoliopsida; Poales; Poaceae
Description: misc RNA Zm00001eb073020
Source: RNAcentral